AACGCACCUUGCGCUCCUUGGUAUUCCUCGGAGCAUGCCUGUUUGAGUAUCAUGAAAUUCUCAAAAUAAAAUCUUUUGUUCAUUCAAUUGGUUUCAUUUUGGACUUGGGGGUCUGCAGAUUAAUUUCUGCUCCUCUUAAAUAUAUUAGCUGGAUCUUUGAGAGGUCGGUUCCACUCGGCGUGAUAAGUAUCACUCGCUGAGGACACUGUAAAAAGGUGGCCGGGCUCACUGCAGAUCCGCUUCUAAUAGUCUAUUAAAUUAGACAAUCUAUUUAUGAUCUGAUCUCAAAUCAGGUAGGACUACCCGCUGAACUUAA
This 316-nucleotide unclassified non-coding RNA is filed under the name uncultured fungus. RNAcentral's name for it is "partial contains 5.8S ribosomal RNA, internal transcribed spacer 2, and large subunit ribosomal RNA". Lineage: Eukaryota; Fungi. The record is from RNAcentral.